AUUAAUCUAAUUAAUUAACAUGAAUUUACCCUACACAAGGAUCUAAAUAUGAUAUAUAGCAUGCAUUCAUUUAAAUUUGAAUUUCAAAUUCAAACAGUAAACACUUUACUGUAAUGUGUUCAAAACACAAUACCUUUGUGCGAGUAGUAGAUCGCUACAAUCUAAUCACCGUCGGGAGAGUCUGAUCAUCGCGACACAGCCACACAAUAUGUCUGGCCUCUGUGGAUCAUUCACACGAAGCUCUCGGU
This 248-nucleotide long non-coding RNA is filed under the name Elaeis guineensis (African oil palm). Its description in RNAcentral is "long non-coding RNA (EGUI_LNC077451)". Lineage: Eukaryota; Viridiplantae; Streptophyta; Magnoliopsida; Arecales; Arecaceae. The record is from RNAcentral.